RNAcentral lists this transfer RNA (69 nucleotides) under Ictidomys tridecemlineatus (thirteen-lined ground squirrel). Its description in RNAcentral is "Spermophilus tridecemlineatus (thirteen-lined ground squirrel) tRNA". It matches the Rfam family "tRNA". From Rfam's summary of the family: Transfer RNA (tRNA) molecules are approximately 80 nucleotides in length. Their secondary structure includes four short double-helical elements and three loops (D, anti-codon, and T loops). Lineage: Eukaryota; Metazoa; Chordata; Mammalia; Rodentia; Sciuridae. The record is from Rfam by way of RNAcentral.
GGGGUUGUGGCUCAGUGGCAGAGCAUUUGCCUUGCAUGUAUGAGGCACUGGGUUCAAUCCUCAGCACCA